UGAAAACACUAUUUAAACAAAGGGUUACCAAGAAGCAAAAAAGGGUGGGAAAUAACACUCAUUACAGAAAAUAAUAAUGAGGAUAACAAACAAAAAUAACCUUGAUUGGUGAAUGUUUUUUCAGAGACAAAAUCUUUAUCUUAAUUAUAUAUCUUGUAUUAAUCAAGCUUAUUUUUGGCAUUGCAUUUAUUUUUCAAAGCACAAUUCUCAUUCCAAAGAUGAGGAAAAUUUUCUUUAGCUGCCUUCCUUUUUAAUACAUCUCGUUUCCUCAUGAGUUUAAUCAAUUUAUCACUCAACCAUGGACUAUUUUUAUUUUUCAAUUGUUUUUUCUUUAUAGGGGCAUGUUUGUUAGCAACAUAAAGAAAUUUAUCCUCAAAAUUCUGAAGUGCAUCAUCAAUGUUUACUAUAGUUUGUGAUUUCGUACCAAUUUACAUUCACCAGUUCUACUGUAGUUUGAAUUGGAUUUCAUGAAGUUUGUUAUAGUUUGUACAAUUUUUAAUCCAGUGGUUUAAAGGUUGCUUUUGUUCUUUACAUAACUGAAUAGAUAACAUCAUGAUCACUAAGGCCACUAUAUAAGACUCUGGCAUCACUAACUUUUUCUGGACAAGAUACAAAGAUAUGGUUAUUACAGUUCUAUGGUCGUGUUCACUCUCAACAAGCCUCCCACUAACCAUCUCAUCAAAGUAAGAUUUAUUCAUGGGUUGGGCAAGACAAAAGCACACAGCGAUACCACCGUAAGUGGGACAGUUGAAAUGCUUUCGUAGACCUGGAACUAAGCCUCCCUCUAACCAUCUCUCAUGAAGGUUGUUGGUCUUCUGUAUGGUCCUUAUGCACAGUCUUUAUUUUGUGAUGGAAGUGUUCGCUCUUUAAAACCAGAUUGUUGACGUGAUGAGCGAGACAAAUGGAUGGGACACAGUGAUACCACCAAAAGUGGAACGGUUGAAAUGGAGGAACUGGAAAUGGAGGAACUGGAAGUGAACCUUCCAUUAACCAUCUCAGAAUAAAUUCUGUCUCCUCAGAAUUUAUUCUGUAAAGCCUAUGCAAAUAAGAAGGUGGAUUUUCCAUCAAUCCAAUAAAAUCAUAAAUGUCCUACAAAGAACUUUUGAACAUUUAUUCAGGUUUCACUUUUAAAACGAUGACACUGAAUAUUAAUUGAUACAAUAAUAUGAAAGUACAAUAUAGAAGUUUUUAUUAAGAGCUACAAGAAACAAAAUUACAAGAUGUCCCUCCCCCAAUUCCGGUCAAGAAGGUUGUGCCCCUUUUUCUCCCAGUUUCUUAAUAUUUAAAAAUCUGUAUCUCAAUGGCUUCCAAGUUUAAUUUAUCAAAUAUCCUUUUUGUGUCUAAUAAAAAAAUUAGUUCACAAAAUAUCAAUUAGAAAAAUUUCCUCUGGAGCCUGGCUUUAAAUAAUGAUGCAUUCUGAAUGAUAACAUUGAAUUAUUAGCAGUAGGGCCUAUUAAUUAUUUUAAUGGUUAGUUCGUAGUAUUGUAUGCGCAGCAGUGUGGUAUCUACUAACAAAAUGAAUGUUAUCAUACAGUAUUUGUUUCCACAUGGAAGAAAGCAACUAAUAAUUUACUGUUUUACAUCUUAACAAUUACUGUCAAUCAAGUACGGCACAGCAGAAAACCAGUGAACAUUCUUAGUCUCUAAGAUGUUUUGAUUCUAUUGGAUGUCCAGGUGGAUAUCAAGGUUUGACAUUUAAAAAAAAAUUUCUCACUACAAGGGAAGUAUAUUAAAAAAUACAUUCUGUUUGUUUGUGUUUCAGUUGAAGGGAUUUGUUAAUGUGGUGCCGCCCUCUACGAAUGCAUUGUUAUGAAACGGAAGUUCGAAAAAGGCUUGAAAAACCAUGAAUUUGUUAACUUGCAUAGAAAAAAAACCAGUGUCAACCACACUACGUAAGAUCAUACACAUGGAUGUUGGAAAAGGCUUUGAAAACAGUUAAUAUGUCAACUUAUAAAGAAAUAAAACAGAUUGAUCAGUAAUGUCUAAGGUAAAGACUUCCUUCCGGGACAAAAAAAUUAGAGAGUCUUGGCCGGAAGCAACUCAUCCAUAUGAUUAUGGAAGGAGACCUGUAGAUGAUAUGGACCAAGAGAUGGUUGGAUAUCCCAGGAAUGUCAUGGUAAAUGUCUUACACCGUGCACAAGGGAGAGAAGUAUUGGAAAGGCUAGAUGAAAUUGCCAACAAUCUUCAAGUGCCGGUAAGGGCAAUAGAGCCACAAAUAAGAAGAAUGAUGUGGUUAAUUCAAAUGCAACGACAAGAAAGAAGAAGGGAGAGAGAAUUAGAGAAGAGGCAGAGAAGAGCAAAUAAUCAGAGGAAUUAGCGAAGGAGACGAGGACAGGGAUUGACAAAUGGUUCAGCUGAUGAAAUUACUGCUGGAAUAAGUUGAAAAAUGAAACACAAAUUAGUAGUACAUAGAGUAGUAAUAAUAGAACAGGACAGGACAUGGGCAUUUUAUAAAAUUAGUGUUGCCAUGAAAUUAGCUUUAGACUCGGUGGAAAACCUAAUACUGCCCAGCUCCACCACACUACAUUCCCACACUUUUCAGGACGAUUUAACCAAAGUUUGCAUUGAAGCACAUAAAAAGUCUGUAUAAAUAUGUUAAAGAUUGGAAAAAAUGUAACUUUAAAUUGUUCCAAAUUGGCCCCUUACUUUAAAUGUAUUUUUAAAUGAUCUUCAAUAGCAAUUGGAUUUUGCUAUUUCAUUUUUAUUUGCUGAUGAUAAGCUUUUUAAAAUAAUUUUGUAUGUUCAGGGUGCAUUGAAACUUCAGAAAGACACAAGUUACCUCACUGACUAGACCAGGGUCUGGGUGCUGGACCUUACCAUUUAGAAGUGUAAAUUUAUGUUAUAAAUUAAAUAUGCAGGAGCUUGAGUUAGUUUCUGUUCAUAAAGCUUUAGGUAUUUUUAUUGACAGUACAUUAAAAUUCAUGUUAUCCUGUUAAUUAUGUUCUGUCAAAUGUUAUUCAAAUGAUGGGUAUGAUUUGGAGAAAUUGUAGGUUUAUGAAUGAUGGGCGUGCCCUAAUUUGCUUGUAAAAUGAUUGUUCAUCAUCAGAAACUCAAUUUCUCCCAAGUCUGUCCCAUGGUAUUAAUAGAAUACAGUACAAAGUAGGUUUUUAAUUUGUUUAGCUAGGACAUAUCCUGAUUAUACUGUAAAAAUUCAUUUAGUAAUCAUAGACUUGUUUUUAAUAUGUUUUUUUUUUUCGAAAGUUUAAAUGAUUUGAUUGUAAUCGUGUAUAUUCGUUUAAAUUUAACAUUCCUAGUCAUACUCGCACUAAACACUUUGGCUGAAUUGACUUAACAAAGAGAGGUUGUUUUUAAGAUUAGCUGUUACAUCUAAUAAUUUAAGUGAAAUUGAUUUUUUUUUUUAAUGUAGUUUAUCUUCAUUGAAGCUUAAAUUUAUGAAGAUAGUUAAGGUUUAAUAUAAGUUAGUAACAUUCCAACCUGUUACAGUUAAUGGAGAUUUUUGUCUAUGUUGGCUGACAAUUUAUUAAAAUUAAAAAUAUAACAAAAAAUGUGUGACAUACAGAAUCAUGUGUUUUGAAUACAUCGCAGAAGCUAGUAAUCCACAUAUCAAUGGCUAGUAACUUGCUAUAUAUGAUAUGAUAUUUGAUGCACAGCAUCCUCUUUGACAUUGGGAAAAAAGUUACAGCUAUUUUAGUGAAGCCCUUAUUUUCUGAUGAUAAUACUUAAAGCAUAGCCCUACAUAAUUUUCGAAAUAUUUUGAAGGCCUGUAAACCAGGAAUCCAUAUGGAUUUAACUGUAAAUGUUAUUGUCCGGAUACAGUGUACAGUGUUUAUAUAUAUGCAGGUGUAGCUUUCCUCUGAAACUUUAAAAAAAAAUUGAGGGUGCAAUCAUUAUUGAAAUGGUAGUACACAGCAGAAGCCACAGUGCUUUAGGCACCUUUAUACAAUGUGCCUUUUCACAAUAAAUUAAUAUCUGUUUUGCCUUAAAAAUUUGCUUUCAGUGGAUAUUAAGGAACCUGAAUAGAAGAGCCAUUAAUACACUGAGGUAUAAAAAUACCUCUUUGAAAGACCACUUGUGCGUGUUGAUAAAAAAACUUAGUUUAUUCAUGGAGGGAAGGCACCGAAAAACGUAAUACAAAACAUCCAUUUUGCAUAGCGUCAUCUAUAUACUGUAUUGUACAUGCAUGGUUUGUAGAAGAUUAUGACAAGAAAAGGCAAUUUCUUUCUAGCACUUCGUUAAUACAAAGCGAAGGAAAAUUUUAAACUAAUUCAUUUUGAUGGAGGAAGGCGAAGAACAUCAACUCUAUUUAUAUAUUAAAUCAUAAAUAUUUUAGUUGCUAAACUUUACAACUUAGGCCUUUUGCUGGUAUACCUUCUCAGAAAUGAUGACGACGACAACGAUAAUGAUCAUGAUGAUGGCGAUUAUGAAGGAUUGAUCUUGAAUAUGUGAAAUUAAGAAAUGUAAAAAUAUGCACAGCUGAAUUAUAAAUCUCCUCAACUAAUAGGCCAGUUUAUAAAUGAAAAUUAAACAUGCUAUUAUUGGGGAAAAUAGAUAAUACAUUUAAGAAGUAUUAAAAAGAAUUCUAUAGGUUGUGACAAAAGAAUUAAGAAUGAAUAUUCCAUUGCAUUGUUGUUGUCUAGAUAAGCUUGUUUGUAAAAAUGGAUGGCUUAUUUUUUACAAUUAUGUAAAAGAAAAUAUUAUUAAUAGAAGUACUGUAUA
RNAcentral lists this long non-coding RNA (4677 nucleotides) under Anneissia japonica. RNAcentral describes it as "uncharacterized LOC117101402". The record is from RNAcentral. Lineage: Eukaryota; Metazoa; Echinodermata; Crinoidea; Comatulida; Comatulidae.